Canis lupus familiaris (dog) is the source of this 1077-nucleotide long non-coding RNA. RefSeq lists it as uncharacterized. The record is from RefSeq and is a predicted model, not a curated record. Lineage: Eukaryota; Metazoa; Chordata; Mammalia; Carnivora; Canidae. The transcript is spliced from 5 exons.
UUCCCUCAAAAGGUUCCCAACUGAUGAGCACCGCUUCUUCUUCACUUUAUCUCAGACAAGCAGUCCACAGACUCCAGAGGACAGGAAUCAGCUCUGUUUUGCUUCCUGCUACACUCUAAAUGGUCAGCACUGUGCCUGGUACACAGCAGCCUGGCCACCAGUUUGAACUGGAUUUCCGGAGUCCUCACCAUUAUCUCUUCUGGGGAGGUGAGAUCCACUGUGAUCCUAGGCCUGAGGAAUUUCCUGAGGAACAUUUAUGAUCACCUCAACAGAAGAAAGGUGUUCAAGUUCAGACACUGGGUGUGCUUGGUCUGAAACACAUAUUAGGACAGAACUUAUCCUCUCAGCAAUCCAGCUCAACAGACAUUCUCGAAGGCAGAACUGGUGGAGGACCAGGAGAGGAAGGGGAACUCAGCCUUGGAAGGUCACCUGGGGCAAGAAGCUCUACUAUCCUUGCCAGCAGGAACUAGGGUUUCUCUGGCAAGGAUAAAUUGGAGAGACCACCAAAUCCCACAGAGUGAACACCAAAAGGAAAAAGAAUGCAAGCUGGUCCUUGUGGUCUCAUUAGAAUUACAAACUCAGGUCACUCUGGAGUAAGAUAAAUGCCAGCCAAGGCAACAUUUCUGAUUCUUCAGGCCUGCUCAAGGUAAUUAUCCCAGAGCUAAAUGUCAAGUCUAGUUUCAUGUGUGCAAAAGAAAGAAAAUGUCAUGUUUGGUGUAAGCAACAAUAUUAUUUUAAUCAAAUCAGAAGCUCAUUAUUAGCAGAAGAUAAGCCCUGGUGUGACCCCUACAGUAAGCUGUAUCUACCUGGCUUUCAUUCCACUUUGUCUCAAACUAAGAUUCUUCACUGAUUGCCCUCAGACAUCAAGUAGGAAAGACUUAACAGUGUCAUAUCGAAGGAGCCUCAUACCCUAAAUCCACUCCACUCUUGAUUGACUGCAGUGCACAGCAAGAAUCUGGAAUCAGACUGCCUGGGUCUCCUCCACAGCCCAACUCUGUAACCUGGGGCAAGAGCCUUAACCUCCCAGUAUGUAGUUGAUAAUAACAGUACUUCUCUCCUGAGAUGGUUAUGAACAUU